UACGAAGGGGGCGAGCGUUGUUCGGAUUUACUGGGCGUAAAGGGCGCGCAGGCGGCUCAUUUUGUCAGGCGUGAAAGCCCCGGGCUUAACCUGGGAACUGCGAUUGAUACGGAUGGGCUAGAGUUCGGGAGAGGAGAGUGGAAUUCCCAGUGUAGAGGUGAAAUUCGUAGAUAUUGGGAAGAACACCGGUGGCGAAGGCGGCUCUCUGGACCGAGACUGACGCUGAGGCGCGAAAGCGUGGGGAGCAAACAGG
Molecule: ribosomal RNA, 253 nt
Filed under: uncultured bacterium
Lineage: Bacteria
Description: partial 16S ribosomal RNA
Rfam family: Bacterial small subunit ribosomal RNA
Source: RNAcentral